GCCUUAUUAGCUCAGUGGUAGAGCGCGUCACUAGUAAUGACGAGGUCAGUCGUUCAAAUCGGCUAUGAGGCA
Molecule: transfer RNA, 72 nt
Filed under: Pseudozyma flocculosa PF-1
Lineage: Eukaryota; Fungi; Basidiomycota; Ustilaginomycetes; Ustilaginales; Ustilaginaceae
Description: tRNA-Thr (AGT) (tRNA-Thr-AGT-2-1)
Rfam family: tRNA
About the family: Transfer RNA (tRNA) molecules are approximately 80 nucleotides in length. Their secondary structure includes four short double-helical elements and three loops (D, anti-codon, and T loops). Further hydrogen bonds mediate the characteristic L-shaped molecular structure. tRNAs have two regions of fundamental functional importance: the anti-codon, which is responsible for specific mRNA codon recognition, and the 3' end, to which the tRNAs corresponding amino acid is attached (by aminoacyl-tRNA synthetases). tRNAs cope with the degeneracy of the genetic code in two manners: having more than one tRNA (with a specific anti-codon) for a particular amino acid; and 'wobble' base-pairing, i.e. permitting non-standard base-pairing at the 3rd anti-codon position.
Source: RNAcentral